Molecule: ribosomal RNA, 293 nt
Filed under: uncultured bacterium
Lineage: Bacteria
Description: partial 16S ribosomal RNA
Rfam family: Bacterial small subunit ribosomal RNA
Source: RNAcentral
GUGCCAGCCGCCGCGGUAAAACGUAGGAGGCGAGCGUUAUCCGGAUUUACUGGGCGUAAAGCGCGUGUAGGCGGUUUCAUAAGUCGUGCGUGAAAGCUCCCUGGCUCAACCGGGAGAGGUCGUGCGAUACUGCGAAACUUGAGUCAGACAGAGGCAAGUAGAAUUCCGGGUGUAGUGGUGAAAUGCGUAGAUAUCCGGAGGAAUACCAGUGGCGAAGGCGACUUGCUGGGUCUGUACUGACGCUCAGACGCGAAAGCAUGGGGAGCGAACGGGAUUAGAAACCCUUGUAGUCC